AUAUAAUUACUGUGCCUGAUAGACGUACGAACUUAAAGCACGCGGGUUUAAAGUUCGCGAACUCGGCUCUCGUCGCGUCGGUGACACACGAGAAUCGCUCACACUGGAUUAC
This is a long non-coding RNA of Aricia agestis (brown argus), 112 nucleotides long. RefSeq lists it as uncharacterized. The transcript has 3 exons. Lineage: Eukaryota; Metazoa; Arthropoda; Insecta; Lepidoptera; Lycaenidae. The record is from RefSeq and is a predicted model, not a curated record.